Octopus sinensis (East Asian common octopus) is the source of this 860-nucleotide long non-coding RNA. RefSeq lists it as uncharacterized. The record is from RefSeq and is a predicted model, not a curated record. NCBI's taxonomy places the organism in Eukaryota, Metazoa, Mollusca, Cephalopoda, Octopoda, Octopodidae. The transcript has 2 exons.
UGUGUGGGUGGGGUGUAUAUUAACUGACACCCAAAUAGAAAUUCUAAGUAAGGGACUGAAGUUUACACCCACACCACAAAGACCAAACUUCCUUGAACUGAAAAAUGACAUUGCAGAAUUCUGCCGAAAACUCUGGCUGGCUGAACACUCCACCAACAACUCUAAUGAUGAGGACGAGUCACCAGCCAGCAACAAAAGCAACUUUUACCCAAAUAAAGGGUUAAAUAAAGCACUAGACACCUACUGUGAAUACAUUAUGAACUUCCCCUUUUCAAAAAUUGAACAUAGAAAUACUAAAUCAAAGUUUACAAAGCAUGAAUGGAAGAACCUACAGGACUUACAAUAAGAUACAGAUGCAACUAUCAAAGAAGUAAAUAAAGGGAGCAUUGUCAUUAUCAUGGACACAAAUUACUAUAAAGACCUAGCACUCACAAUGCUAGAGGACAACAACUACAAAGAAUAAAAAAUAAUGGAAAACCUCACAACUCUUUUAAAGAAGUAUAACAAAGGCUUAACCAGCAAAGAAAUUGACUACGUAGGCUAUUUCAAAUGCAAAACAAGCAACUUUUAUGGUUUACCAAUAUCUAAAAUUGAGAUCAACCAUAGCAGGCUUGGUAUGUGAAACACACAGACUCAACAACUUCUUGGACAUCUUCCUAAAACCCUCCCUAAAACAUAUACAGAGCUACGUACAAGAUGACCUAGACAUGCUAAAUCAUCUGCCAAAAACGUUAUCCCAUGACUUUGUUAAAGAAAAUAGCUCAGCUCACAACAGGCAGCAUAAUACUAACAAUGAAACAAAAAUGCUCUAGCAUGGCCAUAUCCAGAUGGUAUGAAGCUAAUUAAAGCACUAAUUAUCA